GUAUUGCAGUUCAGUGGUAGAAUUCUUGCCUUACAUGCAGGAGACCUGGGUUCAAUGCCUGGCCAAUGCA
Molecule: transfer RNA, 70 nt
Filed under: Loxodonta africana (African savanna elephant)
Lineage: Eukaryota; Metazoa; Chordata; Mammalia; Proboscidea; Elephantidae
Rfam family: tRNA
About the family: Transfer RNA (tRNA) molecules are approximately 80 nucleotides in length. Their secondary structure includes four short double-helical elements and three loops (D, anti-codon, and T loops).
Source: Rfam by way of RNAcentral